This 382-nucleotide ribosomal RNA is filed under the name uncultured eukaryote. RNAcentral's name for it is "partial 18S ribosomal RNA". It matches the Rfam family "Eukaryotic small subunit ribosomal RNA", at positions 592 to 976 of the family's 1831-position model. The record is from RNAcentral.
UGUAAGCGUAUACCAAAGUUGUUGCAGUUAAAACGCUCGUAGUCGGAAUUUGGCAGUUCCGGAUGUGUGCACGUCGUGUGCGCACUUCGCGGGGAUUGCUUUUGUGGUCUUGCGUAGGAUGAGGCACUUUUAUUAGUGAACGUCCUCACGCAACCACUUUUUACUGUGAGAAAAUCAGAGUGCUCAAAGCAGGCAUUUGCCGUGAAUGUAUUAGCAUGGAAUAAUAGAAUAGGACUUGGUUCUAUUUUGUUGGUUUGUUGGGACUGAGUAAUGAUUAAGAGGGACAGUUGGGGGCAUUUGUAUUUCGGUGCUAGAGGUGAAAUUCUUAGAUUACCGAAAGACAAACUGCUGCGAAAGCGUCUGCAAAGGAUGUUUUCAUUGA